Molecule: long non-coding RNA, 30218 nt
Filed under: Lathyrus oleraceus (garden pea)
Lineage: Eukaryota; Viridiplantae; Streptophyta; Magnoliopsida; Fabales; Fabaceae
Description: Pisum sativum (pea) long non-coding RNA (PSAT_LNC003160)
Source: RNAcentral
UUUUAAGGUGAAAGGUUUGGUUGAAAAUCAAUUGUGUCAACAAUGGCUGAGUGAUCAUGUAAUUGGUUCUUUUAUCAAAUAUUUUUGGAGAUAUAUAUUCAGAAAUAUCUUACAUACAAAGAUGAUGUAAAUUUCAAAAUGUCGCUUAUGAAUAUAUACUGAAUUGUUAAAUAACAAUAGUAUUUUUUUAAAUGGUCUAAAGAUACAUUUCCGAAAUAAAAUUUACCUAAUAUAUAGGGCGCCUUUCAAAAUCAUCUUAUUUAAAUAUGCAAGAGAUGCGUCCAAAAAUAUAUCUCCAAAAAUAAAAGAUAUUUAUAAAAAUUCACAAAAGAUGUAAUAAAAGAUAUAAGCUAUUUUAAGAAAUUCUAAAAAAUAUAUAUAUAUAGCCCAGUAUAAUAGGAAUUUUACAUACACAAGUAACAAGUUAUAUAAGAAAAUAGCGUAUUUCCUUUCUCAAUUUUCCUUUCUCAAUUUUCACUACUCUUAAAUAGUUAUACUACAAGAUUGACUUGACUGAAACAUGAAAUUGAAAGAUCACAAGGAAGAAUUUCACAGAAGCUUUAUUUAAAACCUGUAGAGCUUCUGUCCUACAUCAAAGUGCAUUGCACAUUUAAUAUUCUUUUCUGCUAAAUUGACAUAAAGAAUGCAACAUUUUUCUAAACUUCAGGCUUCGAAAUCUGAAUAUGAAAUAAUAUAUAUAUAUAUAUAUAUAAUAUAUAUGCUCCAUGAAGAGGACGGAUAGGAGGAAAAACAGAGAUUUUGUUUUUUCAAUCUCAUUGAGUUCUAACCAAUGUUUCAAAAAUUGGAUUGAAUCGUUCGGUUUAAUCGGUUUGAUCAAAAAUCGGAGAUGAAUUUGAUUAGAUCAAUUCAAAAUCGUUAGUGGAUCAAAACCGGAAUAAAAUCAUAAAAUCCAGAUUGAACCGUUCAAAAUCAUUCAAACCAAAGAAUCGGAAUCGAUUUGUAAAACCACUCUAUUUACAAAAAUUUAUCAAAUUGACCACUAUUUUUAUUUUAUUUUUAUUUUAAUAUGUUAAUAUCAAAACUUAACAUACAUUCCUUCAAUAAAAAAAAUAUUACGUCGUUUUUUUAAAAUCAUAUAAAUUUCUAAAUUUUUUCAGUCUAUUAUAAUUUUUCUUUCAACCAAAUUUUAUUAUUGUUGUUUUCAAUUAAGAUAUGUGUAUCGUAGCUCAACUCAAAUUUAUUUUUUAUUUAUUUAAUAAAAUAUAUUGUAUUAUUUAAUUUUAAUAUUCUAUCUUAUUAAAGGAUUUUUAAUUAAUAGAACUUAUUUUUGUUAUUAUAUUCUAUUAUUGAUUUAAAUUAAUUUAAUUUAUUUUAUUAUAAUUUUUUAAUUUGAUCAAAUUAUUAAGGUUGAAAUGAAAUUUAGAACUAUAUUAUAUUAUUAUAUAUAUUAUCGAUAUUAUUGUAUUAAUUUUUAAUGGAUUUUUAAAAUAUAUAUUUUAUUAAAUUGUGAAUCUAUAAUUAUGUGUGAUAUAUCUAUGAAAUUCAAUUUCAUAUUAUUAAUUUAUUUAAUAAACGGUUUGAUAGUAGGUUUAAUUGAUUGAAUCAAUUGAAUUUUAAACCGUAAAUUUCACCAGUUCGAUCUUCAAUCCGAUUUAAAACAUUGGUUCUAAUUUGAUUAAGCUCUUUGCCCGAGCAAACAUUAAAUUUUAGGGAGACAACCUACAUAAAUAUUUAUGGCAAACUUGCGAAGGCUUGAGAUAUCACAUAAAGAGUAUUUACAUGUAGGUAACUUUAAUAUAUGUAUCCAACAUCAUUAGACAUCAAAUAUGUGAAUACGGAUCACAAUUCACGAGACACUUACAAUAAGUGAAACUGAAUCUCUAGGAUCACUUACUGACGGGAGACACUUUUUCUACUUAGAAUCUCCUGUUCUUUUAGUCGAUGUUGGAAUCUUGCAAGGCGAGCUUGGAGGCCCACAAGACUAGCUGCUUUGCGAGAAAGCACAAAACUCAAUUGGGCUACAUAGUUGUCAAUACGGCUUCCUGGUUGGUCCACUUCUGCCAAGAGUUUCAUUUCCUGAAAACGAAAAAAGCAAUACAUGAUGAGUGAGCACAAAACAAUAGCAAAUAUAAUUUUUCAUCAGUACAAAGGUUUAAUUACUUAAUUAGAAACUUGAAACGCAGAUUAAAAGAAGCUGUGGCACAAAAACUCAAGUCGUAGUCGUGUAGUAACAUGACAAGCAAUUAUGAAUCUAAUAUUAAUGUGUAGCCUAAAGAAAAAGCAAGUAACAACUUACUUCACGUACAAUCUCCAUUGUGUCCUCAAUUUCUUUCCUAUGAGAAGCAAUUAGUGCUUCUUCCUCCUGCAAAGGUAGAGAUAACUUGAACUCGUUUUUUAUUCAACGGAAAACUGGUAAAGAAAAGGUCACUAAUAAUCCAUGUUUUACAAACCUCAAGUACUGCAUUGAUAUUUGCAUCAGAAGCGGAUUCUGCUUCAUAAAGCCUAGAUCUAGUGGUAACAGUAUUGUGAUUCCCUGUGAUCUGCUGCUUGGAGCAUGUAGUAGAGGGAUCGGAUCCAUUGAUAUCCCUUUUCAUCAAGUUUGUAGGCCUUUCGGACCUUUCAUCUUUAGAACCUUUUCUACGUGGGGAAGACACCUUUUGCACGUUCUCAUCUGAAUCAUUUUGUGAGUAAGAGUGCGUCUUUUGACUGGAAGAAUCAUUAUAAGAGUUCUUUUUUUCAAACCUCUCCUCCAUUGAAGCAGAAGCACCUUUUUCUUCUUGCCCAUUUGAUAGGUAAUUUGAAGAAAUACUAGAAGUAAUGCCUUUUUCUUCUCGUCCAUUUGAUAGGUGAUUUGAAGAAAUACUAGGUAUCUGUUUGUCAGCAAUAGCAGCAGAGCUAUACAUAGUAUUCUCCAUUUCAAAUGGUUUCCUGCCCAAAUCCAAUGGUUUCUCUAGGCGUUGGUUACUAAAAUCCUCUGCACGAUCACUAACUGGAAGGGUUGAUGUAGAUGAAACGUCCUUAUUAGGUUGUGGUUGUGGUACACAAUUGGGGAUCGGGUCUUUUCUAGGAUUUCCACUUUUGGAAAGACUUUUAACCCUGUUCACAUUACGAUGAAACACUUAGUACAUGCAAACAUGAACACCAUUGAAAGAACAGAUGCACGCUGUUAUGAAGGUAACAUUUGAGCAUAUAAUACCCAAACUACGUACCGAUCAGCAUAUCUCAGGGUGUUAAGCGUGUGUUCACAAGACCCAGCACCUGGAGAUAUACAAGAGAUCAUAACAGUUUUUGAGUUGCCUACAAAAGAGUCCCGAAGCACUUCUGUAAGUUUGCUUCCCCGGAAUGGAAUAUGGAUCUGGUCAUUGUCUAGAGCACGGAUGCAUUCCUUUAAAGCUAAAAGGCUCUUGUUGAUUUCGGCUCCUUCUAUCCUAUGGUAGAGAUACAACAAUUGCACGGUGAGUUUCUUUUGUUAACACUUUUGUUUUUUUUAACACAGAAAGUGUUUGAUUACAAUUAAAAUUUACAUGAGGGAGGGAUUGUAGUAUUGUUUUCAGCAGUUAACUUAACUUAAAGCAUAGUGAAAUUUCGACAACAAAUAGCCAAGAUUUUUUAGGCAAAAGUUAUAUUUAUAAAGUAAUAUCACAUUAUAACAAUAUGUGCAAAUAGAUAACAUUCAGCUAUUAAAUAUUGUUGAGUUUAAAAAACACUAAAGCAAUAAUUCAAAAUUCUAAGACAGAUAACAAAAAUAUACAUUCAUAAAACUGGUAGCUACUAUGAAAAGCUUUUAAGUUUGCUUUUCGUCAAGAAAUAUUAACUAGCAAACAAAAUCAGUACAAGUAAAUUAGAUGGUUUCAUGAUAACCUCGUUACACAAAAGAGAAAGAGAUUGGACGAUUAACUAAAGGCCUCUGCAAGUCUAUGAAAGAAGACACAAGGAUUUAGCACAGCAGAGAGUUAGUGGGAGGGGGGACCCAAGUGUGCAUUUGGUGGAAAGUGAAGGAAAAAAAGAAAUGCCACAUGGCAGAGAGUGAGUAGGUGAGAACAUUCUAAAAUAAGGAAUUGUGAGGGAGAUGGAGGAAUAUAAGAGGAGGAUGGAUAACAGAAAGGAUAUCAAGAAAAUAGUGAAUGGAAUAUUGGGCUAUGCUGAGUGGAGGAAGAAGGCUGUUCUCCUUGCUCUGGAAAGGGUUUUCUAUGAUUAUCAUCUAUUUAGUAUUCCAAUCCUGCAAAGGAGUAUAUUUAUCCAUCCACAUUCCAUUUCUUUUGUUUGCUCAUAUAUACUCAAUGUAACAGGGAUUUAUUCCCUCUGUUUUAGCUUUUUCAGUGUUAAUAUCAUUCCUAAUUUUGUUCUCACCUGGUUGGGUCCUAGCAUUUCCUUACCUUCUCAAUUACUCCCUCCGUUCCUUUCUAAGUGUCACUUUCUUAAUAAAUUUUUGUUUCUUUUUUAUUGUCACUUACAGAAUUCAAGGUAGUAUUAAAUACAUUUUUGUCAAAAUUACCCCUAUGCAAUUAUUACAGAGAGAGAAAAAGUAAAAUGAAUGUAGGAUAUAAUUAAGGGUAUUAUAGGUAAAAUAAGAAUUAUUAUUUAAAAAGUAACAAUAAUGAUUAGUUUUCUUGGUACAUCUAACAAGUCAAAAAAUGACACUUAAAAAGGAAGGAGGGAAUAAUAAUCUAAUAUGCUUUAUAUUUAUUACCGCAGCUCUUAUUUUUAAGAUAGUCCAAGCAAUGUUAUGUAAAAAAAAAAAGAUUAAACAAAAAGGAAAAGAGAGUUCUUUUCAGUUCUUUAGAGCUUUCCCAUUUUCAAUAAUGAUCCAACUUCAUACUAUGUGGCGUAGAAGGCUAAAAAAAGUCAGUUUGUGCACCAAAAUAUAAAUUGUGUUGUAAAUUUAAGAUUAAGUGUUCAAAAAUGUUCAUGGAUGAAACAUUCUAGAAAGAACCGUCAUGCAGUUCACUUUAAGGAGCUCAAAAUAUUACGCAAAUGAUUUGAAUGUAGAAAUACCGUGUUUGACGGUCAUUAUCAGUAGUGUCAGCACCUCUUUCACUUCCAGCAAGAUCAAUAAAAGAUAUCUUCCCCACAACCUUCCCACUUUUUGCCUCAUUUCCAUCAGUGUUUCGCUUGCCCUCUUUCACCUCAUUGUGCUUCUUUACAACCAAUUGUAAGAUAGCAUGCGACCUGGAGGACUCCUCAUUAGCACCCGUGGAUCCUGUACUUCUUGAAGCAUUUCCCUUUUCAAUGAACUCUUUCACAAUUUGAACGUCAAAAACUUCAAAUUCUUGCAAUCCUACAAUACAAACUUGUUGCCGUCCAUCUUCCCUCAUGCAAAGUUUUCUAUUCGUAACAUAUUAAACCACCAUUCACCAGUAAGUUAACACAGCAUGCACCAAAGAACAAAUAAAACAUGCAGGUUGAAGCAUUGAGCAAGCAAGAUGACAUUUGUAAAUGUAUAUUAGUUGAGAUAUAGAUAUUCAUUCCAGUACAGUCAAAAAUAGAAAAAUUAAUGCUUGAUGUAGGAUAAAAAUUAAGUAGCAAAGUGAUGCUUGAUAUUAUAACAAAUGUUUAUUUUAGCAGCUGAAUCCUUAAUGAAGAAAUAAAAAAUGUUGUCGCAUAAUUAAGACAAAGCACUUGGACUUAAGGCAACCAUAAUGGCUCAAGGACAAACUGCACUGCAACAUCAUCAUCUAAUACAUUAAAAUAGUAUGCCCAGUGUGUUCAUAUAAAAGUGUGUGUCUAUUAUGAAAGAAACACCCACCUUCUGUCACUAAGAAGAUCAAAUAGCUUUCCACCAUAUAUCUCAAAGUAGCUAAGCCACAAUUUAUAUUUCUGACUCCGGUAAACUGGCUGAUGCAACUGACGAACAAGGUCUUCUGCAGCUCUGAGCGGUAAUGGUUGCAUUGUGUAUGUUUUGCCACUUCCUGAAAAUAAAGAUUAAGUGGCUUUCUGAGGAUCAAGCACAUCAAUGGAACGUAGAUGAAUAAACUUAUAUGGUGCCAACAUUUACAGACUUUUUUAAUACAUAAAAAAAUAGCAAACUUUAGUGUAGUUAAUAUUUUGUUGAGGAUGGGGACUUAACCAUCUCCCUCCUUGUCACUCCUAUUCUUAACUCUCCCACCCCAAUUACCAAGCCAACUUUAUAACGCCCCAACAAUUACACAUUCAGUUUCAUGAAAGAUGCAAGAUUUUCAGGAUACACUUUAAACCUUCACUUUCGUGCAUAUAUACCAUCAAGUGAAAAACAUGAUGUCUACCUAGACCAAGGCAGCCAAUAUCCUCCCACUCACUCAGCACAAAUAUUUUACAUAGUAUGGAUAUUUUUAAAUGGUAAAUAUCUUGACUUAUAUCACACAUACCAGCCAGAACCAACUCAACAAGAUGAUCCGCACAGAAAAAACAAAAAAUUGAAAGACAAAAGCAUCACUAUCUUUCAUUGCUUGAUAAAUAGAUAAGCACACUAUCAAGAACCAGUACCAAAUGUUACGAUGUAUAAAUAAACUAGCAAAGUUCAAACACCAAAAAAAACAGCAUAAAUAUAUCAUACUAAAUAUUUUAAUAUGUAAAACUGGAUAACAAUGAUAAUUUGGUACACGUAUGAUGAUAACAGCAAAUAAAAUUUCUCACCUGUCUGACCAUAAGCAAAACAGGUAGCUUUGGUUCGUUCAAAAAUUGUAGGAAUAAUUGGUUCAACUGUAGCUCGGUAUACCUGUUAUCAUAAACCAAUCAUGCAUUAGAUCAAUCCAACAAAUCAAAAUCAAGAUAACUUCCAUAAAUCUUAGGUAUCACAAAAGAGGAGCAGGUAGAUAGUAUGAAGACAAUUGAAACAAGUUACUAACAUAUUAGUAAAAAUAAUAGUGAAGUCAGAUCUUUGGAUAAGAGAUGCCUUACUUCAUCGUUAGUAACAUGCUCAUCAAGAACGGCAUCAAAACAAAACUCAUGCUUGUCUACAUAAGCUGUUAGAUCAACCUGUCAAGAUCAAACCACAUUUUUUUACUGUGAGUUGAAUUAACCAUCUGUUCAACAGGAUGUGGAUAUAUAUAUAUAGAUAUAUUAUAUAUAUAUAUAUAUAUAUAUAUAUAUAUAUAUAUAUAUAUAUAUAUAUAUAUUAUAUAUAUAUUAUAUAUAUAUUAUAUUAUAUAUAUAUAUACUAUAUAUCAAAGCAAACCUUUAGUUUUGGUUCAUAGACUGUCAAAUACGCAUUGUCAGCUACCGUUACAGCAUCAUCCUCCUUCUUAGCAAGCUCUUUCUUGUUUAAAGGUCUUUUACGUACCUACAAAUGCAUUGGAAUUAUUUUUUUAAUAUAAUGACAAAUAUCCCCUGAAUGCUAGUGAAUUAAAAUGGCAUAUUAACCAUCAACAAUCUCAAGUAUAGUAGGUAAGAGUAAAUUUAAAAGUAUGAAUUCAAAGAAAAAGAUCGGAGAGAAAAAUGCUUAAAAUUAUAAUGAAUGUGUAAAUUGUAGUUAGUUCAUGUAGAGUCGUAAAGUACAUUUUCAAAGAGAAAAAAGUUUCAGAUUAUGAAUAUACAAUGUAUAAAUAUUUUGAAAGAAUUUAAAAAUAAAACUGAGAAUAACGUGUCAUCCUUUAUUGGGGGGUAUACUACAUGAUUAAGCCACUCUCAAUCGAGUAGAUUCUAAUUUAUAUAGAGGCGGACUUUAAAGUAAUUAAUUUGAGUGUGUUAGUGGCUGUGAUUUUGAAAGAAAGAGGAAAUUAUAAAAUAAUAAAAAUGAAAAUUUGAAAGAGAUUAAUUUGAGAAAUUUCAGAAAAACAUAAAGGUACUUGUCAAUGGAAAGCAACAUCAACAUGUCUUAGGGAGGAAAUUGAUACAAAUGGAAGACUACUUCACUCUUAAAGUGAAGGCUCUAUAUUACUAUAUAAGGUCGCAUUCACAAAUGAAAAAGUUCAAACUUCAAAAGUCAAGUAUGCUAUGAACUAAAUAUAGUAAAUCUUAAAAAAAAAUAUGAUUUUCCUUCUGUUUUACACCAACUGAUGAUGAUUUUGGUGAAACCCUUCUGCUAGUUAGGGAAACAAUGAUGAUAAAGGUGGCAAUAGCAGUCGUGAUUCUUUUACUUUUUGCUCUAGAGCCAACUAAAGGAAGAAAAAAAAAGAAAUCACAUAUCGCCUGAAGCUGGGAUGCAUACAGGUCUAUAAAAUUGACAUACCACGACUUUAAUUUUGGCGACGUUAUUCUCCCUUGUGCUAUUCUCUUUUUCAUUCAUAGGUAAGUAAAUUGAUGCGUCAACAUCUGCUUCUUUUUCAAGCUUGCUGUUAGUUGGAUAGAAAUCAUCUUCAAAUGCUCUAGUAUCUCCGGGUAUGAUGGGUGAUGGUUCGAAAGGUUCUGAAAUCAUAUGCUGAAAAAAAGAGGGCUUCAAAUGCUCAUGUAUGACAACACAUACUGACUAUUAUUGCAAGAAAUUUAAGCUGAAAGCAGAACAAUAAGGGAUCAUAAACAUUCCAUUUGAGAAGAAAAGAAAUUGAUUGAAACAGAAGUGCUGAAAGUUCAGAUAUUUCAGAUCCAAGAUUGUUGUUGUAUAAAAUGGUAUAGUUGGUUAUAAAACUGCUCACAGUCAUACUACUUCUUAAUCUUAUCUGAUAGGUAUAUAAAAACAACACUACAAGCUGAACAUAUUUUCUUUCUAAUAUGCAGGAAAUUAACCAAACUAACCCUACAUUAUAAUAAAACUGAAUCAUAUUCAUACCUCAGACAAAAGCCCUAUGUCAUCCAUGGCAUGAAGAUCCAAAAGCCCAGCUCCAAAAUCCCCUCUGAACUCAGGUGAAUAAAACCCAUCUGAUGCUGCCACUCCACCCAAAGUUUGAAUGUUGGCCGUAGACAGCUCCGAACCAGAUUCCCCAUUAAAAUUGAGGUUUCUCAUUAACUUCAAAAGCCUCUGCUUCUCUUCAGCAGACUGUGCUCCAUAGCCCUAUCCCAAACAUCAUAUAAAAUAUUCAUCUAAAGUUAUAAACAAUAAAAUCAACUCAUAUACUAUCAAAAAGAAAAUAUACUCAACUAUUGACAAAUUUGACCCCACUACACUCAAAUGUAAGCCUCUAACACAAAACACAGUGGCAUACAUAAUUAUCCCUCAAAUUAUAUGAUAACUCAAACUCCAAUUUCACAAAACAUAUACACAUAUAAUCUCAUAACCAAGUGCAACAAAUUUUAAAUAACUCAAAAGCUAAAUAAUAAUAAAUACAAAGUCAGAGCAGAAAAGACAAUGCCUAAGAUGUUUCUAUCUUUGGAAGAGAAGCGAGGAUACCUGCAUUAGAAGGUUAGGGAGGAGGCGAUGAUCGAUGCCGGAUGAGGCAAAUGGAGAGCCAAGAUGCUGCAAGCCGGCUGACUGAAGCCACCGCGCCAUAACGGCGUCUCCGGCAUCAGUGGAUGAACUUUGCACGGAGCCGCCGGCAGCUUGAUCAUAAAGAGCCGCGGCUGCUGCGGCAUUACCCUGUGGCGGCAUCUGGCCAGCCACGUGGCGCUGGGAACGUCGUUGAGGCGCCAAUUUUCAAGAUCUGUUACACACGCGUUUCUUAAUACAGAAUCAUCACAAUCAGAAAAAAAAUUAAUCCACAAAAAUAAAAUCUAGGAAAAUUGAAUGAAGAAAAAAAACAACGAAACUCACGAGAAGAACAUGAAAGUGAAAAGAAACCGAUUCGGGAGAAAGUGACGAGAAAAUUUCAGGAACUCGAGAUUUUCGAUUCAGAUCUGAAAACGAUAGCGAUGGUGCUGAAACUGAGUUUUCCGAUGCGUAACCACAAUAUGGCCUUUGAUUCUGUUAUUUUCCGGUAAACAGAGGAAGAAAAUGAAAUGCAGAGUUUUGAGAUUAAUUAAAGAUUAGUUGAGAUAUAAUCGUUGCGAUGAUUAAUCAUAAUCCUCACAUUUUCAAAACUUAUGUAAAACGGCUAUGUCUUCAUUGAAGUUGAACGAACCAACUAACUAGUUCCGAAAAGACAAAUAUGCCCUUACUAUCCCUCGUAACGUAAAUCAACCAUGACGUAUUGGAAUUAUGAAUCAAACAAACGCCAACGGAACUCAGUACUCUACCAAACUUUUUUCACAUUUAUUUUUAAUAAAUUGGUUUCAAUUCUUCACUGUUUAAAAAACUGAUAAAACUAUUUUCUUUUUCAUGUGGUUUUUUCGCCAAACAUAUUUGUUGUAAUUCGACACUUAUUUUGUCACAAAACUAAUAAAAAUUUGAAAAUUGUUAUUGAGGAUGUUGAGGCUAUUUAAGAAUAUUGGUUGUUAUUAAUUAAAAACUAGCGAAAUAUUUGUAUUGUAAUAUAUUAUUAUUCUAAAUAUUAAUAAAAUAUUAAAUGAAGGAGAUAUUUAAUUUAUUUAAAAAAUAUAAUAAUAACAUAUUUGUUUUACAUAUAAUCGUUAAACACGUUCAACGUACUUGAACAAAAUAAUUAUAUUUCUUAAAACUUGUUGACAAAUGCUAUCAUGUGCCCCAAGGGCACAAGUUAAUGAUACAUUUAUAGAAAUAUUCUUUUGGAAUGCGUGCAUUUAAUUUUUGAAACUUAAAAUUUUGUUUUAUUCCACACAAAAUUUUCAAUAAUAAUAACCUUAACUUGUGUCCCAAGGGCAUAAGUUAGCAAGACUCAAACUUGUUUUAACUACUUGCAUUAAAUUCUCAAAGUUAGUUUAUACAAAUUGGAAUCAUAAUUAAUUUUUUGAUUCAAGUAAUUGUUUCAAAUUUUAUGCAUUAAUGACAAAUAUGUGUCAAUUUUAUUUUUAUAUUUAUUAAGAUAAAUUUUGUCAUCACUUUUAAAGUAUUAAGGACAAAUAAUUGUAUUGUAUUUUUGUCUUAUAUCUUUUUAUUAAUCGAUGAUAAAUAUAUUUAUCAUAAAAAGAGAAAAUAAUAAAUAUUUAAGGAUAUAAUAAAAAAAAAAUUAAUGAUUUGUCGGUAUUAUAAAACGACUUAUAUUGUGAUAUAAAUUUUUUUUUUAAAGUGAUAUAUAAUAAAAAAAUAGAGGUAGUACUAUCUAUUACUAAUAAAUAUGUAUCGUGUAAAGACAAAUUUUCUCAUAUUUUAAAUAUAUUGAUUAUAAAUAUGUGUCUAGUAUUUAUAAUUAUUAGUAAUAAAUAUACAUCUUACAUUUUUUAUAUAUUAGUUAGUGUCAAAUAUUUUUAAAAUAUAUCAAUACUCUUUUUUAGCUUUUAAAAUACACUAAUGUCUCCCGUAUACUUCUAAAAUAUAUAGAUAACUUGUUUAUUAUAAUUAUUUCAUUUUAUUUGUUUAGAAGAUAUUCAAAAAAAAAUCAAUUCACUGAUAGCAAAGAAUUUGUCAAGUGUAUGAAUUUUGUAUUUCAAAACUUUUUUUAUUUUUAGAAAAAUAAUUUAAAAACAUUUAAUUUUUUAUAGUUAGAAAUUGUUAAAAAUUCUUAUUUUUAUUUGAUGAUAUUAAAACAAACAUUAAUUCUGACUAAUUAUUUAUUGACAAGUAUUUAUUUUGUACAUAGUUUUUAUCAUAAAUUAUAAUUAUUUUAUUAAUAAUAUUCUCAUACGAUCAAACGGUGGACAGUUAAUAAUAAAGGAUGCUUACACUCAUAUCAGCAGACCCUCUCAAGGUAUUGGUUGGAAAAAUUUAGUUUGGUGUCCCUCCAUUCCCCUAUUUUUUCGCUGCUUUUUUGGAGACUUCUAUACGGAAACUGCCUAUUGAUGAGAAACUCUACUUAAAGGGUCAGAUUCUUCCCUCUGUUUAUUCUUUGUGUUUCAAGGAGCAAUAAUAUUUACAUCAUCUUUUCUUCAGUUACAACUACGCCAUAAACGUUUGAAUUUGGUUGUGAAACAAGUUGAACAGAGGUCAUAUCAUUAAUUGCCUUGAAGAUUGUCUAACGAUUAUGCGCAAUAGUAUCUCGAAGCAAUGCCUUGUGGUUACUAAAGUUGUUGUUUUAAAUUCUAUUUGUUGUAUUUGGCUGGCUCUCAAUCAGGCAUGUUUCCAAGACAAGCUAAUUUUGGAGAACUCAAUGUGUUGAUAUUCUAUCAUGAUUUUUUCUAGCUAGUUAACAUACUACUUGUUGUACAAACUCUUCUACCAAUGACUUUAUAGUGCAAAAAAAUUUAGAGUUCAAAUUCAUCCGCCUAAAGCUCUGGUUGUCAGAGAAGUCUUGUGGUGCCCUCCUCAACAGGGAUGGAUCAAAAUCAACAUACAUGGCGCUUCGGGAGGAACUCCUCUUCAAGUUGCUUGUGGUGGUAUCUUUAUAAAUGAUAAUGGUAAUCAUCUUGGCAGCUUUGCUUGCAAUCUAGGCCCGAAAAGUGCGUUGUUUGUCGAGCUUAUGGGUGUCAUUUUAGCGAUUGAAUAUGCAAUCAGUAAAAAAAUGGGAUAAUUUGUGAUUGGAGAUUGAUUUUGUUUUAGUAGUUAAAGCUUACAAUAAACCUUCAAUUGAGUCUUGGAAAUUAAGGAAUAGAGUGGACAAUUAGAUGAGUAAUUUUAAUUUUUUGCCAACUCAUAUCAGUAGGGAAGGGAAUCACUAUACAUAUAAGUUAUCAAACUUAGGCUUAGGUGUCACUAAUUUUACUUGGUGGAAUGAUAUUCAUUCAGUUAUAAAUUCGGACUUCAAUAGAAACAAAGUAGGUUUAACUAGUUUUAGAAUUAGAUAUGUUUGAGAUUUUUCCUCUUUGUCCCCCUCAUUUUUUUACCUAUUCCUUUUUCAUUUAUUCAAUGGGUAUGUCCUCUUUUGAUUAUAUUAAAAAAUUCUUAAUUUUACUCAAUGUCAUUAUACCAUUAAAACCAAGGUUGCGUACUCCUUGUCAAAACUAAGAUAUUUUUCCCUACUUAGUAAGAAGCUUUAAUGGACAUUUGGUAGUAGGUAUGGUAAUAGGGUGGGACGGAUCGGUAUUUACCUCCUCAAACUCAAAUAUAAAUUUUCAAAUAAUUUCUGUUCACCAUCCCGAUCUCCAACGAGAAUGGAGAAUUAAAACUCAAACCCAUCUCAAAUGAGUUCAGGUUAGAUUCGGGUAUCCUCGUUCCGCCAUCAUUCAUUUAAUGAAAUCAAUUUUCUAAAAUAAGAUUUUAAGGAUCCUAAAAUUUUACUAUAAAAUCCUAGUGAAUAUCUCACCUCAUAUACGGGUAUAAACUAUUUUAAUCUAAAAAAUCACUCAUUUUUUAUUGUCAUUGAAUUGGGAUGGGAUGCCUGAGUGUUUAGUGUUUGCAAGUAUAUGUGAACCAAAGCUGAAAGAUGUCAUAUCCCUUAGCAGAGUUCACUAUUAGAUCUUAAUUUACUCCAUUUUUUAUGAACUAAAAAGAAGUAUUCAUGAUCUUUUGGCUUAGUCCGUCGGAAGGGAUUGACGUCAUCUCAAAACUUGUCAAUUCUAAGAAAAUGGAUUACAAUAAGACCCUAAUUCAUAAAACAUUGAUCGUCUCAAACAUCACUCGUUGUGUGAAUUCUCUGGAGAAGGCAAGUGAAAAAACACGGCCUGACAAUUUGAGGAUCAUCAUUAUAAGAUAUAUCUCGACAUAGGAAUUACUUUAAGACAUACAGCAAAGGUCUGAAGACCGAUGUGCUCUUAUUUCUUAGUAGAAGACCAAUAUAUUAGCCCAUCUAACUAUUUGGCCGCUUAUUUUCUAGGUUGCCUAUUUGUUGGAGUUCUUAUCUCUUAGACUGCAUAUCUCUGGACCACCUACGUGUUUGAUCGCAGGGAAUUUCUUAAUGCACCAUAUAUGUUACUUACACACCGUGGAAAAAUAUUAAAAUAUCCUAUAGAUUUCGGAGAUGCAUCUAUAGACACAUCUAAUACAAAUACUUUAUUUAUUUUUUAGUCACACCCCAAUUUUAUGAAUAAACUUAUUCCAAAAAUGCAUUUUCGAAACCUGCUGAACCAAAAAAAUAGCAUAAAAAAUAAAAAAGGUUCAAUAAAAUUUGAAUUUCACAAGGAAAAUGGAUGUUUGUCAUCAUACAUAUAUUUCAAAUAUUUCUCCAUGUUACUGUUACACACUGACAUUAAAUUGGGCAAAGACAUAAUAACAGAAUCUAGACUCCUUAUUGCUCAUUAAUUUUGAUCUAGUUAAAAACUCAAAUAUGAUAUGAAGCAUGAUGUAAAUUGUAACACCUCAACAUUCAACUAAAAUGAAUUUUAUUUUGUAUUGUCAUUGAAUUGGGACGGGAUGCCUGAGUGUUUAGUGUUUGCAAGUAUCUCUAAAUCAAAGCUAAAAGAUGUCAUAUCCCUGAGCGGUGUUCACUAUUAGAUCUUAAUUUACUCCAUUUUUUGUGAACUAGAAAGAAGUAUUCGGGAUCUUUUGGCGUCAUCCGCAGGAAGGGAUUGACGUAUCUCAAAACUUGUCAGUUCUAAGAAAAUGGAUUGGAAUAAGACCCUAAUUCAUAAAACAUUGAUCGUCUCAAACAUCACUCGCUGUUUGAAUUCCCUGGAGAAGGCAAGUGAAGAAACAUUGUCUAACAAUUUGAUGAUCAUCAUUAUAAGAUAUAUCUCGACAUAGAAACUACUUGAAGACAUAAAGCAAAGGUUUGAAGACAGGUGUGCUCUUACUCCUGAGUAGAAUGUUGCAUAUAUAUAGGUUGCUUAUAUGUUGGACUUCUUAUCUCUUGGAAUACAUAUCUCUAGACCACUCACAUGUUUGACCGCCGGGAAUUUCUUAAUGCACUCUAUAUGUUACUUACACACCAUGUGAAAAUACUAAAUAUCCUCCAAAUUUCGAAGAUACAUCUUCAGAUACAUCUAAUACACACACUUCAUUCAUUUUUGAGUCACACCCCAAUUUUAUGAAUAAAUUUAUUUCGAAAAUACAUUUUCGGAACUUGCUGAACCAAAAAAAAUAGCAGAAAAAAUGAAAAAGAUUCAAUAAAAUUUGAGUUUCACAAGGAAAAUGGAUGUCUAUCAUCAUACAUAUAUUUCUUCAUGUUACUCUUACACACUGACAUUAAAUUGGGCAUAAGACGUCAUAACAGAAUCUAGACUCCUUAUUGCUCAUUAAUUUUGACCCAAUUAAAAACUCAAAUAUGGUAUGAAGCAUGAUGUAAAUUGUAACACAUCAGCAUUCAACUAAAAUGAAUUUUAUUAUUCAUUAAACUGAAAUUAUAUUUACCACUCAAAGAGAGACUCAAUAGAACAUUGUAUAAACACAUAUUGUCGAUUUUUGCAGCGAAACCAAUGAGGUUUAGACAUAAGUUUUUGCAUGAUGUCAAAUAAAAGAUAUACAAGUGUUGAAUGUUAGUUAACCCAUAUAUCUAUUUUUAUCUAGGAUGUCAAAAAAUCUAAUCAUAGAGGUUUUAGUUUUGUGAAUUUUGCGUCGAAAUUGAGUAAGCUUAGACAUAAGUUUAUGUUUUUUUUUUGUUCAACAGGUUUAGGAAAUGCAUUUUCGAAAAAAAUUCAAAAAUUCAUUUUCAGAAUAAAUUUAAUUAUAAAAUUGGUACAUGACUCAAAACGAAUGAAAUAUGUAUGUUUGAGGUGCGUCUUGAGAUGCAUUUCUGAAAUCUGAAAGAAUAAAAUUUUAAACAUAUAAAAAUGAAAUAUGAGAAUAAAGUUUUAAACAUAUAAAAAUGAAAUAUGUGUGUUUAAUGUGUUUGUGACAUAUAUAUAAUGCAUUAAAAAAAAUGUACCGCCUAUCAUACUAAGACUUAAAUGAACUGUUUUCCUGCAUGUAGGGCUUGGCCAAGACAAAUUUGUAGGAUUAAUAAGAAAUAUAUUUAUAAAGAGUUAUAAAGAUUAUUUUUAUAGAGAUUCUUAUACAUGUAAUAAAAAACAAAUUCUCCAAAAAAGAUCUUAUAAUUAGGAAAUUGUUAUACACUACAUGUAAUUAAACUGGGUAGAGAUCCUUUCAAUUUCUUUAAAGAAAUGGAAUUAUCCACUACUAUACUUUUAGAAUACAAAUAGCUAAUAGUUGUCACCAAAUUUUAAAAUGUCUACAUUUAUUUAUAUCUUGUAUUCACCUAAUUUAAUAUAUAUUUUAAUCAUUUUAUUUAAUUUAAUAUUAUUUUUUAGUCCUUUAAAUAAAAAAUAUUAUAAGUUAGUCCUUUAAUUUCCAUUCUAUUAUUUUAUUUGGUAUUUUUGAUAAUUUUUAGAUAAAAAAUAUUAAGUUCUUGUGACGUGACGUGAUAACAAUGUUAUAGAUACAAAUUUUAGCAUCACCAGAAUUUAAGGUUUUUUUGUCAAAAAUUGAUGGAAGAGACUAAAUAGGAUAACCGAAGUGAAAUUAAGGAACUAACUUAUAACAUUUUUUAUUUAAGGGAUUAAAGUAAAAUAUUAAAUUAAGUUAAGAGACUUGAUGAUUAAUUAUGUCUUUAAAAAUUAUUAAUUUAUUUUCUUAAUUUUUUCUGUUUAAUAAAUAAAUGAUUUUAAUUAUUUUAAUUAAUUUUUAUACAAAUAUUUAUUUAAAAAUUAAAUAUUACAAACUCUAAAAUAUAUAUUUAGGCCUAACGUACAGUAACCCAAUACCAAUAUUAUAACAAAUAUAAUGUGAAAGUCUUAUAUAAUCACUAUUCUUUGGUAUUGAAAUUUCGAUGUGGACUUAAAUUGUACAUGUCACUGUUGAUAUUGAUUGAAAAUAUAUACGUUGAUACUAUUUAUAGAUAAUUGAAUAUGAUUAUCGAUGAAAAUAAUAUAAAAAUUUUUGGAGUGUAGCUUCAAAUGAGUAUCUGAGUAUAGUCUUUAUAUUGGAGUACGAUUGUCAAUGAAGACAAGACAAACUUAUAUAUUAUUUUUAAUAAAUAUGAAGAUUAUUAGAAUUAGUUGAAAAUAUGGAUGAUGAAUAAAUCCUAUUUCAUUCAAUUUUUUUAAAUGAAUAGAGGUAAUAUAAUAUAUAUAUUAUAUAUAUAUAUAUAUAUAUAUAUAUAUAUAUAUAUUAUAUAUCAUAUUUUAUUAAUAUUAUAAAUUCUUUUAAGUUCCAUAUUAUUUAAUUUUGUGAAGGAAGAGAGAGUCAAAGAUAUAUAUGAUUCAAGUUUUUUAUUCCAAUAUGCAUCGAUCAAAAGCAUUUUAAACUUGUAUUUGAUUUUCUUUGUUCUCUUUUUGGAGGGAGAAUGUGGAUGCAAAUGUAAGUGAUUAAAGUCUCACAUUGUCUAUGAAUUGGUGGAGUGUUGGAUUUAUAAGAGAGAUAACUUAUUUACCUAACACCUUAAGAUUUUGGGUUGAAAUGUAAUGUUUUUCUAUUGUGAUCGUGGAGCAUUAGUCUCAUUGAUGCUCUUGAACUCCCCAAUAGUGAUACAGAGUCUGGUUCGGCUUGUGGGGGGAGCGGAAACUGAAUCCAGAUAGAUGAUAUGAGAGACUUACAUUUGUGGGGGAGAACGUGGUGUGAAAGUAUGAGUGAUUAAAGUUUUACAUUAUUUAUGAAUGAGUGAAAUAUUAAAUUUAUAAGAGAGACUUCAUUUAUUUAACACUUUUGUUGAGAUCUCAUUGAUGUUUUUGAGUCUCCUAAACUCCCAAACAACCGCAACUACAAAUCAAACAGCUUUUGCAAAAGUGUAUUAUGGUGAAGUACCUAAUCCAUACAAUAAGUUUCAUGAGCAUAUGUAUAUGACUAAAACAACAUAAAAGUAACUCCUUAUGCAGAGGUGUAUUACGGUGACAAAGUUUGAUAUUGUAUAUAUGAUAACAGUUGUAGAAAAAUCAUGUCACUUAAUCACUAUCUUUUUGCAUUUAAAAGCAUCUUUGCUUAAAAUAUUUGGAACGAUCUACGUCUCUAGGUGAUAUUGAUGACGUGUAUUUAGACACAGAGGAAAAGUAUAAGAAAUUAAUUAAGCAGGUUAUUGAAUUAUAGGAAAAAUAUAUUGAUGUCGAUGCUUAUAAGAAAUUUGAUACUAAAGGAUCAUAAAAUUAAUUUUUUAAAUAAAAAUUAAAAAGUUAUUAAAAUGAAUUUAGAGAGACCAAAACUGCAUUUAAGUUAAUAUUUAAUUUAACAAAAUAUUAUUUAAUACUUCCACGUUUCAAAAUAAAUAUCAUCUUUUUAUAAAAAAAAUAUUUUUCAUAUUUAUUAUAAAGUGUAAACAAUAUGAAAAAAUUAAUAAUUUUACUAAAUUAUUUGAUUGAAUAUUAAAAUAUUUCCCAACAUCAGAAAUACAAAAUAAAAUAAAAUAUUUUAAGAGUAACACACAUAAUUAAAUAAAUUAUAUUAAAAAAUUAAAACACUAUAUUUUGAAACAAAUUUAUUUACUAAAGAAUAUAGAUAGAGUAACAUGAUUUGAUUAACAAACAAAACCAAGGCUAAAUCUCAUAUUUAAUUAACAAAAUUAUAGGGAUCAUUUACUUUAACUUGUAGUAUAAUUUUAAAAAAUUUAAUAAAUCUCCAUUUUAAAAAAAAAAAUUGUUUGAACUAAAUUGUGGCCAUGAAUGAUAGAUAGGGUGAUGCACAACAAUUUCAAAGGGAAGUAUUUAUUUUUUAUUUCUUUGUGCCGUUAUUUUCGGAUAAUUUAAUUGAUAGUUAUGCAUGAAUAUCAGAUCUAAUAGAAGAAUGCAUAUUUAAAUCCGUAAUAUUUCAUUUAAUUAUUUUUUAAAAAGCAAAUUCAAGUGAUUAAACUAUUUAAUAAAAGAAUUCAGCUAUUAAAUUAGUUGGAAAAAAAAGAUCCUCUUCAAUUCAAUCAUGUCUAAUUGGCUGUCAUAUCUUGCAGCUCACUUCUUUUCAACAAAAAAGUCAUUGCUUUUGCUUAAAGCAUGGUAUGAGUGGCUUAAUCCAACGAUUAAGUAGGAACAAGUUUGAAUGAAAGACAUCAUCACUAUUAUUAUUCUCUUUAAUUAAAUUAAAUCUUGCAUCAUUUCUAAACAAACAUCCAUUACCAACAGCACACUUUUGACCAUAUAUUUGUCUUUAAUCUCAUUGUUAAGAAGAAUCGUUUUUUAAUGUCUGCAAAAUAAUUAAAUAAAUCUGUCACUAUGAAUAAGUAAAAUUCAUAUUUAUUUUACCACUAUUAAUAUGUGGUUAACUUACCUGAUAAAACUUUAAAAAAUAAUUAACAGGACUUUGAUGUUAAGUACCAAACUCGAUAUUUCAUACAAAAUAUAUUUAUUUUCGUUUUUAAAUUCUUUACUACAUAAAAACAAUUAUGGAAUCGCAUAUAUCAAAAUUUAGAUACAAAAAUUAGAGAUUCUCCGCAAUAAAAUAAAUUUAAAAUCAGUCAUUUAAUUAUUUUGAUUUUGUUUAUCCUACACCAUAAAAGGACGGAAUUGGAAAAUAUUGUCAAUGAAGUAGAAUAUAAAAAAUGAUAAGUAAUUAAGUAUAUUGAGUUAAAAAUAAUGUUAUAUUUUGCAAAGGAACUAAAUAUAAAGAAAGUGAUUAAAAACAGUUUUUAUUAAAAUCAAUAUAUUUAAUAUAAUUAGAGGGGACUAUACUCUUAUUUGGGAUAGGCAAUAUUUAAUUGUGUCCCUAUAUAUCAAGAUGCUUUAAAAAGGUAUUGUAAUUAUUAAUUAAUAAAAAGAUCAAUUAAAUAAAGAAUAUUAUACUGUUCGUAAGUAAAAAGUUGUAAUAUUUAAGAAAGAGUUACAAUACUUGGUGAAAGGGUAUGUUUUAUCAAGGAUGACAAUACUUAGUAAAAAGUUGCAACACUUGAUGAGAUAACGAGUUUUAUCAAUGGUCGCAAUCUUGUGAAACAAUAUCUUUUAAUCUAUAAAUAAUCUGCUUCGGAUCCAGAAAAAUAUACUACUUUGAACUCUCAUAUUCCUUGUUUAAAUUUUAGAUUUCUUUCUUCCAUAUAUUUGAGUUUUCAUAUGUCUUGUGCAAAUUCAAAGUAGAUUAAAUUAUCAUGAGUAUUCUUGCGUGUAGUCUCUGAGAUAAAAUAGAGAGUACUUAAAAUACUAUUAUGAAAAUGAUUAUAUGCACAAUUCUAGCCUUGAUCCAUUUAACUUAAAAAUAACUUCUAACAGUCUAAUAAUAUAUCAAAUAAUGACAAUCGGGAUUUCCGUUAAUAUAUUAAAUAAUGGCAACUGAGGCUUCUGUUUCAAGCAUCAAAGUGAUGAACAAAGACCUUGUGAAGCUGGAUCAUUUUGAUGGGACAAACUUCACUCGCUGAAAAGAAAAGAUGAUCUUCCUCCUUAUUGCUUUGAAGAACUUCCAUGUACUGGAUCCUGAACUAGCACUCAUUGGAUGUAAGUGGGUCUUUAGAAGAAAGUAUCAUGGUGAUGGCACACUAAACACCUACAAAGCUAUAUUAGUAGCCAGUGAUUUUAGACAAAAGGAGGGUGUUGAUUACCUCAACACAUAUGAUAGCAAGGACGACGACAAUUAGAGUAUUAUUUGCAUUAGCUUCUUUGCAUAACCUUAUAGUUCGUUAAAUAGAUAUCAAAAUAGUAUUCCUAAGUGGAGAUAUCGAUGAGGAAAUUUACAUGAAGCAACUGGAAGGCUAUGUGUUUCCUGGUAAUGAAUAAAACGAGUAGAACAAUGCCUCAAACAUCUUAACCUCAAUUUAGAAGACGUUCUCGUCAGGUUCCACAGUUUCAACAUCAUUGCAUAUCCAAAAAGAAGCUUUUGAAAAACUGUUAAAGACACAUAUUAGUUGGUUUAGAUCUAAUGCAUGCCUUAAAUCACUUGGCAUAAAGGUUUUCAUCUUCUAAAAAGAAGGAAGACCUUACCUCCAUUGGUCACACUACCACAUCAGGAAUAAAUACCUCAAUCUAUUACAUGCCUUAGAAAGGUUUCCAUUUACUAUAAAGAAACAAGACCUUACUUCCAUUGGACUCACUACCACAUCAACAAUAAAUACCUCCGAGUGCAUUUACUCUAUUUUUUUCUCAAUUUCUUCAAUGUAAAACAUGGCAUAACAUUUGAGACAAUGAUCCCAUCCAUGAAAACUAUUCUCAACAUAUUACCAUUGAACAAAACCUUGAUAAGAAUGACUUCAAAUGUGUGACCAUUUCUCUAGUGGGCUUCUCAAAUAACACCCUCAAUUUCUUUAACUUAAGCUAAUGGAACCCACUUAGUGUCUUCAAUGAAUACAUCUCAUUGCAUCUCAUUUAUUUGGGCUUCUAUGCUUUAGAAUUCCCAAGAGGUUAAUCCCAUAACUUUUAUUUCAGUCAUGACGAUGUUAGAUUUAUCUCUAAGUCGGAUAUAUAAUAGGUAAUCCUCAUCAUAUUUCAUUUAAUAUCCCAAUUUGAGACAGCCUAACCCUAGUAACUUCUUUAAUAUUAUUAUAUUUUCACAAUUAACUUUCUCUUUAACUUUCAAGGGUGUUUUUUGUUAGCUAUAAGCUCUAGGUAUGUGAGACUUUGACCAAAUUCUUCCAUGGCUACUAUAUAAGCACAUUCAUCUACCUUUUACUCAUUUCUCAUCAGAAGUCAAGGACUUGCUCUUGUUAGAGUCAUCAAGUGGUACAUCUAAUCUUGGCCAAAGUGAACUCAUUGUCUAACACCUUUAUCACCUCAAGCGAUUAUAUCUUCUUUUUCCAUGGUCCUGGAUUUUUGUAAUGAGUUGUAGAAUGUGAUUAUUUUUUGUAUAGAUCGUCUUAUUUAUCACCUUCUCUUUUUUUUCUACUGAAGGUGGUUGCAUAAGGUGAAUUGGGCCUGGCAUUCUCACCCACUACCCAUUUCCAUGAAGGUGGUGGUUAAUCCUUCAUGUUAAAGUUCUUUCCUGACUACAUGUUAACACCAAGUGUAGCCGUCACGUGGUGAUUGAAAAUUUAUAAUGGUACUUGUUGUAGUAUUUCAUUAGCAUGAUAAAAAUUCUGUUGAAGUCUGAAAAUGAUAAAUUUGUUAUUGAAGUGUGAAAAUUUAAUCGUGAUUCGACUGAUAACUAUUUAUUUUUUCUUAAAUAAUAUUUCUUCCAUUCAGAAAAAAAAAAUGUAAAUAUAUAAUUAAAUAUAUUAUAAAUAAAAAGAUAAUAAUUAUUUUAACACUGCACUCCAUCUUUCACCUCUGGUUGAGAACAUAGAAGUCAACCUAUAAUAGGUUGAUCUUACCAAGGCGGUUAUCGGCAGAUUUCGAAUUCCUUUGAAAACCCCGUUCAUGCAUUCCACAAUGUUUGUUGUCAUGUGGCCCCAUCGCACCACCGUCAAAUGCCCUUGUCCACUGCUCUACUGGUAUGUUAUUUAUCCAUCUCCCUGCGUCUUUAUUAGACAGUCUAAUUUCAUCACGAUAAUAUUGAAAUGACGUGAGUAAAGCAUACCCGCUCACCGCCUUCUUGCGAAGAUUCUUAUCUUUGAUUGCACGCAUGAGUUUUAUGCAAUGGUCUGAUACAGUAGACAUGUGUAGAAGGAGGAUCAUGUCAUCCGUUGUCAUGGUUGUUGUAGGCACUCUCAAUGGCAGCAUGUCUAUCAGAAAUCAAACAGAGAUUGGCUUGUGGAGCCACAUGCGUUCUGAGAUGUCGAAGAAAGAAACCCCAUUCAUCAGCCGUUUCACCUUCAACAAGAGCAAAGGCAAUGGGAAAGAUAUUGUUGCUACCGUCUUGUGCAACCGCCAUGAGCAAAGUACCCUUGUAUUUUCCGUAUAACCAAGUGCCAUCAAUUUGAAUGAUAGGUUUGCAGAAUGCGAAACCUUUGAUGCACGGGUCAAAUGCCCAAAAGAGACGGUGAAAUAUUCUAUUACCUGUAGCACAGGUUCCGUCUGGCAUCAUUGCUGGCAAUGUCUCCAUAAUUUCCAUAGUUCCUGGGACAUAUGUUUUUAGUGCCCAUAAAAACCGUGGCAAUUCCUUGAAUGAAUCCUCCCAGAUGCCGAAAACCUGUUCAACAGCCUUUGUCCUCGCAAUCCAGGCUUUCUUGUAAGAUGGAGUAUAAUUAUAUGUUGUUCUGAUAUGGGAUAUAAUUAUACUCACCUUCACUGAUGGGUCUUUAUUUACCAAUGGCAGAAUUGUCUUGAACAUGAUUCAAAGUUGCGCCUAGUUUAGGUGAAUCUUGUUUCAACGUUAGUUGCAACUGCAACUGUGCGGUGGGUCUUUGAAGCGAUCUCCCAAGAUUCGUUUUUCUUCUGUAAGACGCAGCCAAACGAACUUACAAAGCAUGUUUACGAUCAUUCGAUAACAAUACCGUUCUAGAAAUCAGGUGCAUUUCACUGUAAAGUCAGCAAUUGUUAUGUGGAAUUUUUUUGAUUGCCAGAACACAUUCUUCUUUUGGUACGAAACAUGUCUUCCACACCUUUAUUCACCUUCUGAUCUCGGGAAUACGAUUAUAGAAAACAUGUUGGAUGUUUAUCGUCGUGAAGAUCCAUAUUUGUCAUAUGUUAAGGCGGAUUGUAGACAUGACUAGGAGGUAUUGUGUGUGGUUGAUUCAUCAUCUUCAUCGUCGUUGUUCAGCAUGUGAUCAACCUGUAUCUUCGGUCUCCUCUUCUUCUUCAUCAACAACGUCGACUUCUGCUUCUGCUUUUGGGUUUGAGUUCAUCUGACCAUUGUGCAUCAUCUUCACCAGCUUCAUCCAGAUCGGUUAGUUGAGACUGUUGAGAUGGUAUACAUGGUUGAAGAGUAAUGUACAACACGAUACGUUGCAGCCCUAAUGUUCAUGACUAACAAACAUGUAUUCAACAUCUUCAUUGUCUCGUACCUUAAGGGGGAAAUACUUGCAUUGACCAUUCUAAAAAAAUAUUGGAUUUUGAUAUGUGAUCUUUGACACAAUACCCGAUCCUAUAAAGGAUUGCAUUCUUUUUUUCAAAUGCAAGAAGGUUGCAUUUCUCUUGAUCGUGAUUCUAAUGGUAUCAGUGUUUCGAAAACAAAAACCAUGUAGCUCAGACUCGAAUGUUUCACCGUUGCAAUGAACGUUGACACUGUAUAAUGAUGAAGAUGACAUUGUGCAGAUGAAAACUAUUUUCUUACUGCAGAUGAAUGUGAGUGAAGUGUCUUGGAUGUUGAUAGUAAGCCACUUAAAUAGAUGGUAUCAGUGUCUCACAUGCUAGCUAGUUCUGAGAUGAUGUGUUGGACAUGCAAGUUAGUCUGAGAUGAUGUGUCGGACAUGCAAGCUAGACUGAGAUGAUGUGUCAGUCAUGCAAGAUAGUCUGAGAUGAUGUGUCAGCCAUGCAAGCUAUCAAGAAGUGAUUGUUCAGCAUGCAGGAGACAAGACAGCCACGUGUCGAACAUAUAAGAUAGUUAGAGAUGAUGUGUCAACCAUGCAAGCCAUCAACAAGUGACUUGUUCAGCAUGCAGGAGACAAGACAGCCACGUGUCAGACAUGCAGACACACACUCCAAAUGGAUUGGCGCCUCCAUUUAUUCCUUGUACAUGGUCGCCAAUUCAAGUGGAGACACCAUGCAUUCAGACCUCGAAACCAAGCAUUCAGACCUAGCAUUGCAUGCAUGUCCCUAUGGAGGCGCCAAUUUGAAUGGCGACCCCUCGUAAAGCUUGUACAUGGUCGCCAAUUCAUAUGGAGACACCAUGCAAGCACAAAUUUUCAUGCUCUCAUCCAUUUACCUAUAAAUACAUCCACUCCUUCAACACUUCUUCCACACCAUCACUCUUACUACUUCCUCUACAAUACUUCUUUUACAAUUUCAUCUUCAACAACAUCUUCUAGUUUCAUCCACACCAACCCCCCAACAAAAUGUCGUUACUCACAAUGGGCGAAGCACAUAGAGGAACGGUUGCAAACAUCGCAACAUAUGUAAGUUUUUUCUUUUGUUAACUAAAAUAGAAAGUAGAAGUGGUUGGGGUAAAAUAAAACUGUAUCCAACUUAGUCAAGUGUUUUAUUCUUUCUUUUAUAGGAUGUAUCAAGGUUUCGAACUCGGGUCCACGAAUAUGUCCAGAUGGACCCGAUGAUUCAACCUUAUGUUGAAGUCGCCGGUUUUGGUCAUAUUAGCAAGAUUAUGUCUUGGUUUAUAGAUAACAAGUUCAUUCUAGCCUUAUGUGAAAGAUGGAGGCCAGAGACACACACAUUUUGAUUCCCAACCGGUGAGUGUACCGUGGCGUUAGAAGACGUCAACAUGCUUUUAGGACUACCAAUUGAAGGCAAGGAUGUUAAUGGUAAGACCAACUAUGCAAAUUCAAUUUGCAUGGAGCUCUUAGACACUUAUUUGUUAGAUGAUAAUGCUAGAGGUCAAGGUAUACUACUCUCACGCCUAAAGUCAUAUUAUAAUAGUUUAUACUUAGAUGAGCAUUCUAUCGAAGAUGCUCGAAUAAUAAAAACUAGGUGUAACAUUAUGUUGUUAAUAGGAUCCUUUUUAUUUCCCGAAGGUAGUGGUUCUAGCAUGCAUAUUAUGUACUUACCUCUACUUAGACAUGUAGAUAGUUAUCCUUCAAUGUCAACCCCUAGACGAACAGAAGCCUAUCUCUAUAGCUCGUUGUGCAAAAACUCCCACAAAGACACAUCUACAUUUUCUGGAUGUGCUGUUUUGCUACAAGCAUGGGGUUGGUCAAGACUAUCGUCUCUAGCACCGGUUAAUAACAACCCUUUCACUUUUCCAUAUGCACAAAAGUAAGUUGUUUAAAUUGCUAUAUCUUUACUUAGUUCCUUAAAGUUUAUUACCUCAAACUAUUUUUUUUUAACUUUUUGGUGUAGAUGGUCGGCACAUGGUAUGAGUUACAACAGAUGUCCGAGACACUAUAUUACUCAGUAUCGCAACCUGUUGGAUCACCUUCGACCGACAGACGUAAGCAAAAUAACUUAAUUAUUUCGUUAUAUUUUGUUAACUUUUUCUACAUUAAUUAUAAUCCUAUCUUCUUUAACAUUUCAGUUCAUUUGGCGUCCAUACCUUAAUCUGGAUCGUGACCAUGAGGUCAACGCUGAAGACGCAGCCGUAUGGACAACAUGCACACCGAUAAUACGAUUCACAACUGUGGAGAUGCACAACACCGAUCGUGUGAAGCUGCAGUUCGGUAUGGUCCAGAAUAUCCCAGAUCCCACAGCUAGCCUAGGAGAAUGGCAUCUGCGUAAAGUGAACGACCAAUGGAACUUCAACCCUUGGCAAAACUUCGCAAGAUCAGAGUGUCGCAAGUGGAAGCACCGUCAUGACCAUGUCUUAACUGACACAGUCAUGCCAAAUGAGGUAAAACCAAGUCCUACUUAUAUGGCUUGGUACAGAUCGGUUGGUUUUCAAUUCAUCGCCGAAGAUAUGUACCUCUACGACCCAGCCAGGCAAGUUACACACAAGAAGGAUCAACAUCUAACCCCCAACAACAUUCUCAGCCCGGUUACUCACAACCCCCUAUCCGUCAAACUUUCCGUUCUACAAACACACAAACAUACAACCAAAACAUGUCAUUCACCCAACCCCAAUACCAAGAGCAUACCCCAUACCACCACCAACAAAUUGACCAUCAACCUGAGACCCAACGUCGCUUCACACCCACACCAUCACCCUACCAAAGUCGCGUUAGCUAAAACACCAACCGCCUCUCCUCCUACCGUAGCCAAGAAGCCCAAACAUCACAAAACCAAAACAUCCCACAACCCUAUCUCUACCAAACACCCCAACAACCUUUCCUCGACGCAUCAUUCACACCCAUGUCUCCCUUCAACCGUCUCGAUCGCCCAUCCAUGAGUCAACCACAUCCCAACUUCUCUGGCAUGGGUCAUGAGCUCAGCUACGGCGGUACACCAUCAUUGCAUACUGAAGACUAUGCUGAGUUGUCUGAAUACCUCAACGGACCUUCUACCCAACUUCUCUGGCAUGGGUCAUGAGCUCAGCUACGGCGGUACACCAUCAUUGCAUACUGAAGACUAUGCUGAGUUGUCUGAAUACCUCAACGGACCUUCUCUUGUAGUUGGUAGUGACGCUCCUGACCCCUCAGAUGAUCAAACACCGAUGCAGAAUCGUCAACGUGAGUUAGGACCAAGGGUUAGGGUAGCUAGAGGAUGUGGCACCGGAGGUCGGUUAGAUGAUCCCGAUCAUCACCAUUAGGUUUCUUUUGUGUAAACUCCAAACUUUAUUAAUAUCAAGUCGUAUUAUAUCAAAUUUAUCUUUAACUUAUACCAUAAAACACACAAAAAAUGUAUUUUAUGAGGAAUCUCCAAUUGAAGAUGACCCCACUUUUGAUGUGUUUGUCAAAUGAAGAUGAUCCCAAGAGCAAAAAUGUUCUUAAGGACCAUAUGAACAAGACCAUAUGAACAACUUUCAUGUUCAUAAAAAUUUGAUUUGAAGCUUUGAAGGUCAUCAUCAAUUUCAAAACAUUAUAGGUCAUUUUGACUGAAACCCUAAUUUUAGGUCAACUUCCCAAGAACAUAACUCACUCAUUUUUCGUGAUUUUGAGAUGGAAUCAAAUGCAUUGGAAAGUUUAAGAUGUCUACUUCAUUUGUUAUGUUGAGAAAAUUUUCAUAAUCCUAAAAGAAACACAUGUGAUAAUAGAAAACAUUAUAGGUCACUUUGGAACUUCAAGUACAUUGAAAUGUGAAAAAGUCCAACUUCAAGUGCCCAUAACUUUCUCAUCAAAAAUUCAAAUGAUGCAAAAUUUAAAUCCAAAUUUAUUGUCUUGAAAAGAUCUACAACUUUUAUGUUGAAGGUUUUGUCAUUUGAGGCUUUUAGAAGGAAUCUCCAAUUGAAUUAGCGACUCCUCUUAAAACCUACACAUAGGCACCAAUUGGAUUGGCUAGGGCACCUGCCCUAGUCAAUCCAAUUGGCGCCUCCAUUCAAGUUUUAAGAGAAACCGCCAAUUCAAUUGGAGACUCCUCCUAAAAAUGGGGUAUUUUGGAAAAAAAAUUAAAACUUGAGGUAUUUUGGAAAUUUUCUUUAAAAAGUGGGUUAUUUGGAUAAAAAAAACCGUUUAUGCCACCGUUGAUAUGAGAUUAGGGAUAGAAUCAUGUUAUUUAUAAACAAAUUAAGGAAAGAGUUAUGCUAUUUUUACAGCAUUUUACUUCGGCAUAUUUAAAUUUCACCGUAUAUGUACAAUUAUUUUAGUGUUGCACAAACAAAAAAUCAUUAAAAAAUGAUGAGUAGAUAUUUAUUAUAUAAUGUUCGGUGUAGGUGUGUAAUUCUUAAGGAAAAGGGAAGGGAAUUAUCACUAGGUGAAGUUGAGGCUAUUUUACCCCCUUCCAGUACCAGUAAAGAUCCAGAAUCGAAAGGGUCCAAUCUUUUUCCCAUUCUAGUCAUGAAAGAAUUUGAUAUCAGGUUUACCUAUUUCCUAGAAAACUUGUCAGGAUUCAGUUUUAAUCAAGGCAUGAACACUAACCUAACGGAUCCUUGUCAAGUAUCAAAAGGCUUCUAAAGCUUCAGCAUAAUUUGAGAACAUACGCAACAACUAUGCUCCGGUACUGUAUAAUGUCAUAGAACACUACUCUGAUCAUGAAAGAAUAUAUGACAAGGAACUGCUUAGGAGAAUAUGUGAAACUUGUAAGGGCUUAAGUUUUAUCUAUUAGUAAAUUUAUUAGACAAGGACAGACAAUAGAUUAUUUUAAAAAAUGUAUUACAUUACUGACGGGGUGUUAAAUUAUCGGCAAACAUGAAGUUUCCAGCAUAAACAUAACUACUUAAGCACACUAACAAAUUAAGAUUCUACAACAAACCAAAUAAAUUUUGAAACACAGAAAUCAUGUGGCAUGUUUUUUUAAACACUUAAAAUCAAAUGUUAAAGAAAUAUAACCAACCUGAUUAAAUUAAAUGGGAAUGAUAACUAAGUGCAAAACCAUCACAUCUUUAUCAAAAAUACCAAAUUAGUCUUAACUCCAACUCUCAAAAUAACUUAGAACAACAAAAACAUAAUAAAUUGGGAGAGGUAGAAAACCAAGUGCAAUAAAACACUUAGCACUUGAUCUCCUUCAAAGCAAAAGAAAAAUAGAGAAAAGUUGGGUCAGCAGCACCAUCCUUGUAGUAGGCAAAGACCAAGCUACCAUCAUCAUGCAUGCUCUCACCAACAAAGCUGCACAAAAAUGUAACAUUAUACACUAAAACAAAACAUCUAUUACUUAACAAUUUAAUGUUUGACCAUAAGAAAUAGUAGCAUAUUAAUUAAAAUUACUCAAAUUAAGUGUAUCCACUCUAAAGAGAAAGCCAGAUGAAAAGGAAAGAGUUUUUAAAAUAAAAUAAAAAUUGUCUAUUUGAUGAUGAUAAAUGCAAGAAAACCAUAUUCCAGCCUCAAAAUUAACAAAUAUUAUGCAACAAACAAGGAAACUAUAUAAAAAACAUUGAAUACUUCUUGAAUGUACAUAAUAGCGAGUCACUUACAACUGAAGGUCCUUGAGCUUGCCAAGGAGGUAUUUGGUUGCUCCCUCAAUAUUCUUUUUGAAGUGCUCUUGUUUCUCUGCUUCUAGUUUGGGAGUCAACAACUUAAUAUACUUCUUAACAAAGCCAAGAAACUGCUUCUUGUCAAAAGGAGGUUGUUCCUACAAAAGUUCACACACAAAAUAAUUAUGCUCUGAAAUCAAGCUAUAAGAUAAGAGCUCAAAAAUUAGCUUUAAAAAAUGUAUUCUCCAAGAUAAAGAGAUAUUCAUGGUUGCCCUAACCUGAAGUCUGAAUACAUCAACAAUGUCAACCACCUUAACAGCAGUGUCAUCAACACCCUCAUCUUCUCCACCUUCGGCAGAAGGGUUUGCACCGAUGUUCACAUCAACUGCUCCCUUGACAACCCACUGCACACCAAGAGGAAAUAAUUUUUAACUUUCAUCCUCAAGCGUAACAAAACAAUUUCACAAAAAACAUGUUUUGAUAAUUGCAUAUUUAAACCUAAAUAAUUGACCAAUAUUCAACUACAAUUCCCUUUGAAAGUAUAAGAAAAUUCACAAAAACAUGUUUUAAUAAUUGCACAUGAAAUGAUUGGGACAAUAUUAACUGACCUUCCCCUCAACUUCCCACAACAUUCCAUUCUCAAUUUCCUUGUAUGGAUAAGAGUCUGACAAAAGCUCAUCACCUACAAAACAUGACAAAAGCGUUGAACUAUUACAUAUUUCAAACAAAAGCAUGCUACUAAAAACCCUUCUAUUAGAGCUGAAGCAAUUCAGGACCAUUGAUUUAAAACAAAAUAUAUAGAAAAAUAUAAAACAAAAUAGAAGAAACAAUAACCAAUAGAACGGGGCACAGACGACACAUAACCCUAAGCAAAAAGAUGCUACACGCAGAAAAAUUCUCACUUCUUGAGUACAAAAGCAUAGCAGAUUGAGAUUAAUUUAUCUUUAUAACAAUGAAAAAAUCUGGCUUUAUUUGUUUUUACAGAAACUCUAGCUUUUAAUAACAAACACGAAUAAUCAGAAUAUGCAUCUCAGUGCAACACAAUUGAAUCAAUUGAAAUUCAAACAAAUCACAAAAUCAAAGCAAAAAACUACAGAUCCAAAGAUUCCCAUCAAAAUUUCAAUACAACUGUCAUAAUCGCAUGCGUAAUUCAUAUAGAUCUAUAAGAGAAUAAUAGAAAGAAAAAAACGGAAAUUUAAGAAAAUAAUCAUGGAUCUGAGAGUAGUUACCUGUAAGGAGAUCCUGGUAAACCAACAUGAUUGAAAAUUCUUUCUCUGAUCGCUCCUGGUUACAGAUUUAUUGGUGUGAGAAUGAGAUUCGGAGCGAUCUG